GUUGUGUUUGUUUAUCUGAAUCGCAGCCUGGAUUUGGAAUCAGAGCACACAGAUAAUGGAUAGUGAGUGGAUGAGUUUGUCUCUUUAGCUUCUCUAAGUCGAGCGUGAAUCACAGCUGGAUUUAUUUCUUUCAUCAGCAUAGCCCUGCAGCCUCUGUGGUAUCAAACCCAGGGCUCUGAAAUAAUCAGACCCCCACCCCUCCCCCCAAAACCAACAAACCAGACGGAGGUGAGGAAGUGACUUCAGACCAUCUCAACAGUCAAUUUGGAGCAGGUGUCAAAGACCUCUGUAGGACUACUUCAGAUGACGAUGGAAGGCUCAAAAACGCUUUGGCUGUUUCUCCUGCUCAACUACCUGCCCCUCUGUCCUGCUGAUGUAGACACGAACCUUUCAGCAACCCAAUUAAAUUCAUCGCUUGCAGUGGAGACUAACCUCACAACCACUGAAGACAACAACUCCAUCAAUGGCACUAAUGGCAACUGCUUGAUUGACACUGAGAUGGGACUGAUUGCUAUAGGUUCAGCAGGAGGUCUGAUUGUAUGCUUGAUGGUUGCCACUGUUGUACUGGCAUGCCAGGUCUGCAGCCUUCAGCGCCAGGUUUAUGUCCCUCGAACCUCACGGUCCAACAUGGACUUAGUAAGCAGUACAGGCUACUGGGGCACAGACCAACCAGAGAUGGCAGGUCUGGUUGGACCAUGUGAUGCCAGUGUCAUGCUUGAGGAGGUGAGAGCAGACAGCAAGAUGGAGGAAGAGAGGCAGGCUGAAAUGCAAGAGGCAAUGGAAGAGGCUGAGGCAGGACUUAAGGAAGGGGCAACAGCAAUGGCUUAUGAUCCUGAGGAGAAGCAAAGUCUGAUGCAGAGCUCCAACUCUAGGGACUCCUGUUUGGAGGUUCCCAGGGAUUUAGAAGACAUGCCCCUUGUUGUGUAAGGAAAUAAUCUCACCUCAGUAAAUCUAUCCCCAGAAACAACUAGUCAGUUUAGCUGAUCUGUUAAACUUUAACAUGGCAUGUUUCGUUCAUAUCCUUUUCAGUAGGGAUGCACCAAUUGUUAAAUUGGGCAAAUAUAUAAUAAGGUAACAAUUAGGCUAAUUGUUUUGUUUUUUAACCCCCUCGUUUUUUAUUUGUUUUUGGGGAAAGAAACAAUAACCUUCUGAAAGUCUUUCAGCCCUUCAUCAUACUAUCUUUAAAUGAGCACAAAUUCAAUCAAACAAAUUUAUGAAAUGGCCACAGGGGCUGAAAAAAUAUACAGGCUACAACAGAGUGGUGACUGCUUUCUUAUUCAACAAGUAAAGAAUGAAUAUCUGGUUUAUAAACGGGCAAGCUGACGAUGUGGUUGGUGCAUCCCUAAUUUCAUCUAUCAGUAUUUGACUCAACAUAAGUACGGCUGCCUGGGCAUCAUUUGAAAUUUAUAAAUAUUAGCAUAAAGAGCUUUGAUACACAGAGCAAAAAGCAUAGAUUUUCAGCAACUUGCUUAGAUAAAUAUGUAAUGUUUUACAAUGUAGUAAAUCUUUAAAACCCCAUAAAAUUAUGUAUUUAAACUAUCUGAUCAAACGAUAAGUAAAAAACUUCCCAAGUUGUUUUCAAUACAACGGAGAUUUUGCUCAAUUAUUACUGGAAAAGAGAAACUAGUAUUUUAAAGGAGAGAUGUAUUUUUCAUGAAAUAUUUUGUGCAAUGUAAGAUGUUAAGCAUAAUUUUUAAGCAUAUCACACGAUACAUAUUACAUGCUACAUAUUUGUUACAUGCAUCACAGUUCUUACAACAUAACAGUAACUUACAUAAUGAACUAAAGAGAAGAACAACAACGAGAGGAUCAACAUACAUUAACACUGUCAAAGAUCCUGGACUGGAUAGUAGAAAUGCUGGGAACUAUUAAUUAAUCUCUGCUGAACUCUGCUUCUGUUUUAGUAUAAUCGAAAUGUACUUUCAACAAUUUAAUUACUGGUUUCUUAUGACUCAAAAACUG
Molecule: long non-coding RNA, 1962 nt
Organism: Archocentrus centrarchus (flier cichlid)
Lineage: Eukaryota; Metazoa; Chordata; Actinopteri; Cichliformes; Cichlidae
Exons: 3
Source: RefSeq, a predicted model, not a curated record